RNAcentral lists this unclassified non-coding RNA (822 nucleotides) under uncultured Hygrocybe. RNAcentral's name for it is "sequence contains ITS1, 5.8S rRNA gene and ITS2". The stretch from base 280 to 433 matches the Rfam family "5.8S ribosomal RNA". The record is from RNAcentral. Lineage: Eukaryota; Fungi; Basidiomycota; Agaricomycetes; Agaricales; Hygrophoraceae.
AAGUCGUAACAAGGUUUCCGUAGGUGAACCUGCGGAAGGAUCAUUAUUGAAGUUGAUUCGGGUUGUCGCUGGCUCUUAGGAGCAUGUGCACGCUCGUUCAUAUUCAUUUUCUCUUGUGCACCUUUAGCUAGACUAUGAAUACCUCUCGAGUGAAAAUCUCGGAUUGCGGGUUGCGAUUCAGCUUCCCUUGCAUUUUCAUAGUCUAUGUCUUCAUAUACCCCUUUGUAUGUCUUUGAAUGUUUUUUUUGUGGGUUCUUUGUGACCUAUAAAUGUCAGUACAACUUUCAACAAUGGAUCUCUUGGCUCUCGCAUCGAUGAAGAACGCAGCGAAAUGCGAUACGUAAUGUGAAUUGCAGAAUUCCGUGAAUCAUCGAAUCUUUGAACGCACCUUGCGCCUCUUGGUAUUCCGAGGGGCAUGCCUGUUUGAGUGUCAUUGAAUCCUCAAAAGAAAAGCUUGACUGCUUUCUCUUUUGGAAUUGGAGCGUGCUGGCCUUCUGUUAAUGAAGCCCAGCUCCUCUGAAAUACAUUAGUGAUGUGACAUCCGCAUGGCACCACGCUUGUCUGGCAUUGAUAAGUAUCUUCAUGCCUGAGUGUGUUGUGCAGCUGUGGAAAGUUUCGCUCGCUCAUAGCUUGAUGGGGUCAGCCCAUCCUUUGACCAAUUUAACCUCAAAUCAGGUAGGAUUACCCGCUGAACUUAAGCAUAUCAAUAAGCGGAGGAAAAGAAACUAACAAGGAUUCCCCUAGUAACUGCGAGUGAAGCGGGAAGAGCUCAAAUUUAAAAUCUGGCGGUUCUCUGAGCUGUCCGAGUUGUAAUCUAGAGAA